RNAcentral lists this ribosomal RNA (381 nucleotides) under uncultured bacterium. RNAcentral's name for it is "bacterial SSU rRNA". It matches the Rfam family "Bacterial small subunit ribosomal RNA", at positions 524 to 903 of the family's 1533-position model. The record is from RNAcentral.
UACGGAGGGAGCUAGCGUUGUUCGGAAUUACUGGGCGUAAAGCGCACGUAGGCGGCGAUUUAAGUCAGAGGUGAAAGCCCGGGGCUCAACCCCGGAACUGCCUUUGAGACUGGAUUGCUUGAAUCCUGGAGAGGUGAGUGGAAUUCCGAGUGUAGAGGUGAAAUUCGUAGAUAUUCGGAAGAACACCAGUGGCGAAGGCGGCUCACUGGACAGGUAUUGACGCUGAGGUGCGAAAGCGUGGGGAGCAAACAGGGAUUAGAUACCCUGGUAGUCCACGCCGUAAACGAUGAUAACUAGCUGCCGGGGCACAUGGUGUUUCGGUGGCGCAGCUAACGCAUUAAGUUAUCCGCCUGGGGAGUACGGUCGCAAGAUUAAAACUCA